This is an unclassified non-coding RNA of Vulpes vulpes (red fox), 331 nucleotides long. Its record names the gene 7SK. It matches the Rfam family "7SK RNA". From Rfam's summary of the family: 7SK was discovered as an abundant small nuclear RNA in the mid-70s but a possible function has only recently been suggested. Two independent studies have found that 7SK RNA binds the CDK9/cyclin T complex (known as elongation factor P-TEFb). P-TEFb activates transcription by phosphorylating the C-terminal domain of RNA polymerase II. Lineage: Eukaryota; Metazoa; Chordata; Mammalia; Carnivora; Canidae. The record is from Ensembl.
GGAUGUGAGGAUGAUCUGGCUGCAACGUCUGUCACCUCGUUGAUCACUAGGGUUGAUUUGUGUGAUCUGCCUGGCUAGGUGGUUGUUCCCUUCCUUUCUCUUCGUUACAUGUGCAUCCCUUGAGAAGCUGCAUGCUUGGUCAAGGAGGAUGACCCUCCUGGAUAGAGGAAGACCAUUCUUCUGUCAAGGGUUUAAUAGUAGCUGUACACCCCUACUGGAAUCUCCAAACAAGCUCUCAAGGUCCAUUUGUAGGAGAAUGUAGGGUAGUCAAGCUUCUAAGACUCCAGACACAUCCCAAUGAGAUGCUGCAUGUGGCAGUCUGCCUUUCUUU